AGGUGCUACGAAAGGGAACUCCGCAGCAUCAGUCAGCGAGGCAGGACCCGUCUCUGUGUACGGUGAAGUAUCCGACGACAGGGACAGACUGUGCAGCGCUGCGGGAGAAAGGAGACGACCAACCUGUGCUCAGAUAGAGCCCUCUGCGAAUGGAAAAGGGGUUGUUCAUCCUGGAGGAGGCUUUUAUUCGGAGCACGUGAACCUCUGGAGGCCAACACCAGCCCGCUCGAGCGCUCCCUAAACCAGCGAUCCCAACGUAGAGCAGCCAGGUGGCAGAGCAGAGGAAUUAGAGCUUAGCAGAGCCUCUACCCCUCCGAAGUGUUUCCUGAGAAAGCGUGCCUUGGGGCUGGAGACAGUCGCUGAGGCCACUGGCUGGCCUCGGCCCCAGGCUGGGUGACUGGCAGUACGCCGGAAGCUCCUGGACAUGACGUGACAA
Struthio camelus australis is the source of this 436-nucleotide non-coding RNA. NCBI's taxonomy places the organism in Eukaryota, Metazoa, Chordata, Aves, Struthioniformes, Struthionidae. The record is from RefSeq and is a predicted model, not a curated record.